UGAAGAGGGAAGAGCUCAAAUUUAAAAUCUGGCAGUGUUUCGCUGUCCGAGUUGUAAUCUAGAGAAGUGCUGCCCGUGCUGGACCAUGUACAAGUNUCCUGGAAUGGAGCCUCAUAGAGGGUGAGAAUCCCGUCUUUGACAUGGACUUCCCAGUGCAUUUGUGGUGUGCUCUCAAAGAGUCGAGUUGUUUGGGAUUGCAGCUCUAAAUGGGUGGUAAACUCCAUCUAAAGCUAAAUAUUGGCGAGAGACCGAUAGUGAACAAGUACCGUGAGGGAAAGAUGAAAAGAACUUUGGAAAGAGAGUUAAACAGUAUGUGAAAUUGUUGAAAGGGAAACGCUUAAAGUCAGUCAUAUCAGCCAGGGAUCAGCUUGGCUUUUUU
This 379-nucleotide ribosomal RNA is filed under the name Amanita rufoferruginea. RNAcentral describes it as "partial large subunit ribosomal RNA". It matches the Rfam family "Eukaryotic large subunit ribosomal RNA", at positions 94 to 464 of the family's 3401-position model. The record is from RNAcentral. Lineage: Eukaryota; Fungi; Basidiomycota; Agaricomycetes; Agaricales; Amanitaceae.